UAAGGAGGGUGCGAGCGUUAAUCGGAAUUACUGGGCGUAAAGGGGGCGUAGGUGGUUGAUUAAGUUAUCUGUGAAAUUCCUGGGCUUAACCUGGGACGGUCAGAUAAUACUGGUUGACUCGAGUAUGGGAGAGGGUAGUGGAAUUUCCGGUGUAGCGGUGAAAUGCGUAGAGAUCGGAAGGAACACCAGUGGCGAAGGCGGCUACCUGGCCUAAUACUGACACUGAGGCACGAAAGCGUGGGGAGCACACAGG
This 253-nucleotide ribosomal RNA is filed under the name uncultured bacterium. RNAcentral's name for it is "partial 16S ribosomal RNA". It matches the Rfam family "Bacterial small subunit ribosomal RNA", at positions 524 to 776 of the family's 1533-position model. The record is from RNAcentral.